This 355-nucleotide ribosomal RNA is filed under the name uncultured bacterium. RNAcentral describes it as "bacterial SSU rRNA". It matches the Rfam family "Bacterial small subunit ribosomal RNA", at positions 28 to 385 of the family's 1533-position model. The record is from RNAcentral.
GACGAACGCUGGCGGCGUGCUUAACACAUGCAAGUCGAGCGGUAAGGCCCUUUCGGGGGUACACGAGCGGCGAACGGGUGAGUAACACGUGGGUGACCUGCCCUCAGCUCUGGGAUAAGCCUGGGAAACCGGGUCUAAUACCGGAUAUGACUCCAUGACGCAUGUUGUGGGGUGGAAAGCCUUGUGCGGCUGAGGAUGGGCCCGCGGCCUAUCAGCUUGUUGGUGGGGUGAUGGCCUACCAAGGCGACGACGGGUAGCCGGCCUGAGAGGGCGACCGGCCACACUGGGACUGAGACACGGCCCAGACUCCUACGGAGGCAGCAGUGGGGAAUCUUGCGCAAUGGGCGAAAGCCUG